This is a long non-coding RNA of Carica papaya (papaya), 472 nucleotides long. RefSeq lists it as uncharacterized. NCBI's taxonomy places the organism in Eukaryota, Viridiplantae, Streptophyta, Magnoliopsida, Brassicales, Caricaceae. The record is from RefSeq and is a predicted model, not a curated record.
CCUAGGCGCCCAUUCAAACAAAUAACCGACCCGAAGGCACCGCUCGUACGCUUAUCAAAUUCCAACAAACCCUAAUCCCAAGAUCCCCCCAUACAAGUAGCCCUCCUACUAGCCCAUCGCUUUCAGAUGUUCUCUGCCCUUUCUUUCCCUUUGCCGGCCAGCAGCGGCCAGCAGCCCUGACUGGUGCCUUAUAAGAUCGGAGCCAAUCGGCUGUCUUUUACAGUUGAUCUAUGAGUUUGGUCAAUAAACUCAUUGCAUAAGUGCACCAAGUAGCCCCUUGCUUUUUUGUAGGUAUAGUUGCAAGGAAUAAACGAUGAAAGGUCAAAGACGGGCCAAGGAUGGUAUCUACUCUUGUUUGGACCUGCUCAAAUGUGAAACAAUUAGCUUGUACGAGAUUUCUUAGUCUGUUAUGCUGUUGCCUUCAGGCUAAACGAGUAUGGUGCAAUAAAAAGCUUUCAUUCUUUCUCUGUCC